UAUUGAUGAAAGUCAGUGCACUGGGAAAGGAGUGGAAAGUGUUGUAUCUAUGGCUCAUCAUUAUUUGCAGUUCUAUGGCAUAGGAGAAAAACAUGCACAGAUACAUUUCAAUAAUGCAGCUGGGCAGAACAAAAACAACUAUGUCAUUUGGUAUGCAGUUAUGGAACACUUUAAUAGGACUACAUGAGACUGUUGCAAUGAGUAUUUUGGUGACAGAGCACAGGGAAUUCAACCCAGAUUGGCAUUUUGAUUUAUGGAAAGUGAUGUGGAGAGAUUCUGAUGCAUAAACUAUGACCCAAAUGGCUGACACUGUGAGACAGUCAUAAAAAGGGGGUCACAAUGUUCCACAAGUAGUUGAUAUUCCUGAAACACCUGUUGAUUUUUACAGUUUGAGGCAAUUUCUUGAACAGUAUUUUAA
Mercenaria mercenaria is the source of this 418-nucleotide long non-coding RNA. RefSeq lists it as uncharacterized. Lineage: Eukaryota; Metazoa; Mollusca; Bivalvia; Venerida; Veneridae. The transcript is spliced from 3 exons. The record is from RefSeq and is a predicted model, not a curated record.